Long non-coding RNA from Oncorhynchus gorbuscha (pink salmon), 839 nucleotides. RefSeq lists it as uncharacterized. The record is from RefSeq and is a predicted model, not a curated record. The transcript has 3 exons. NCBI's taxonomy places the organism in Eukaryota, Metazoa, Chordata, Actinopteri, Salmoniformes, Salmonidae.
UUGUCAAGUGUGAUCUCACAUCUGGGAGACAACAUGUAUACAGGCCACUACAUCAGUGAUGUUUUGGACAGCCGUGGCAGUGGGUGGCUCUGCCUGGAUGACGCACAUGUCUUGAGGACAGAUGAGGCCACUGUGCUGAAGGCGAUUGCACAGACUGCCUACAUCCUGUUCUAUGUCUGCAGACAUUGUAUGUACAUGUAAGAUCUCCCUGUCAUUUCUCAUUGAAGUGGAGCAGGUGAAGGAGACCAGGCCCCUCACUACCAGGAGAACCCAUCAUUAAACUAAGGGAGAGGCACAGCGCUCAGGGACCACCUGGAGUAGCACGUAUCACACACCAAGAAACAUCAGAUUAAUCGAAUUAGGCUGCCCUACACCACCAUCAACUGCCUUAGACCACCAUAAAGCUGCCCUAGACCACCAUCAAGCUGCCCUACACCACCAUCAAGCUGCCCUAGACCACCAUCAAGCUGCCCUACACCACCAUCUAUCUGCCCUAGACCACCAUCUAUCUGCCCUAGACCAUCAUCAAGCUGCCCUACACCACCAUCAAGCCUCCCUACACCACCAUCAAGCUGCCCUACACCAACAUCAAGCUGCCCUACACCACCAUCAAGCUGCCCUACACCACCAUCAAGCUCCCCUACACCACCAUCAAGCUGCCCUAGACCACCAUCAAGCUGCCCUACACCACCAUCAACUGCCUUAGACCACCAUAAAACUGCCCUCGACCACCAUCAAGCUGCCCUACACCAACAUCAAGCUGCCCUACACCACCAUCAAGCUGCCCUAGACUACCAUCAAGCUGCCCUAGACCACCAUCAAGCUGCCCUACACCACCA